Molecule: ribosomal RNA, 251 nt
Filed under: uncultured prokaryote
Description: partial 16S rRNA
Rfam family: Bacterial small subunit ribosomal RNA
Source: RNAcentral
ACGUAGGUGGCAAGCGUUGUCCGGAAUAACUGGGCAUAAAGCGAAUGUAGACGGCAUGAUAAGCAAAAUGUGAAAUGUAGGGGCACAACCCCUAAACUGCGAUUGGAACUGUCAAGCUUGAGUGCAGGAGAGGCAAGUGGAAUUCCCAGUGUAGCAGUGAAAUGCGUAGAGAUUGGGAGGAACACCAGUGGCGAAGGCGACUUUCUGGACUGCAACUGACGUUGAGACGCGAAAGCGUGGGGAGCAAACGG